UGGUAAUGACAUAAGGCAAG
This 20-nucleotide non-coding RNA is filed under the name Rattus norvegicus (Norway rat). Lineage: Eukaryota; Metazoa; Chordata; Mammalia; Rodentia; Muridae. The record is from RNAcentral.